GAUGAACGCUAGCUACAGGCUUAACACAUGCAAGUCGAGGGGCAGCACAGAGUGGCAACACUCGGGUGGCGACCGGCGCACGGGUGAGUAACACGUAUCCAACCUGUCCCAUACUCGGGGAUAGCCUUUCGAAAGAAAGAUUAAUACCCGAUGUUACUGAACGAGGGCAUCCUUGUUCAGUCAAAGAGAUUCGGUAUGGGGUGGGGAUGCGUUCCAUUAGCUUGUUGGCGGGGUAACGGCCCACCAAGGCGACGAUGGAUAGGGGUUCUGAGAGGAAGGUCCCCCACAUUGGAACUGAGACACGGUCCAAACUCCUACGGGAGGCAGCAGUGAGGAAUAUUGGUCAAUGGACGAGAGUCUGAACCAGCCAAGUAGCGUGAGGGAUGACUGCCCUAUGGGUUGUAAACUUCUUUUAUAAGGGAAUAAAGUGCACCACGUGUGGUGUUUUGUAUGUACCUUAUGAAUAAGGAUCGGCUAACUCCGUGCCAGCAGCCGCGGUAAUACGGAGGAUCCGAGCGUUAUCCGGAUUUAUUGGGUUUAAAGGGAGCGUAGGCGGCGGGUUAAGUCAGUUGUGAAAGUUUGCGGCUCAACCGUAAAAUUGCAGUUGAUACUGUCCCGCUUGAGUGCGGUAGAGGCAGGCGGAAUU
RNAcentral lists this ribosomal RNA (646 nucleotides) under uncultured Bacteroides sp. RNAcentral describes it as "bacterial SSU rRNA". It matches the Rfam family "Bacterial small subunit ribosomal RNA", at positions 28 to 668 of the family's 1533-position model. Lineage: Bacteria; Pseudomonadati; Bacteroidota; Bacteroidia; Bacteroidales; Bacteroidaceae. The record is from RNAcentral.